UAACUGGAGGGGAAGUGGGGAUGACGUCAAGUCAUCAUGGCCCUUACGACCAGGGCUACACACGUGCUACAAUGGCGCAUACAAAGAGAAGCGACCUCGCGAGAGCAAGCGGACCUCAUAAARUGCGUYGUAGUCCGGAUUGGAGUYUGCAACUCGACUCCAUGAAGUYGGAAUCGCUAGUAAUCGUGGAUCAGAAUGCCACGGUGAAUACGUUCCCGGGCCUUGUACACACCGCCCGUCACACCAUGGGAGUGGGUUGCAAAAGAAGUAGGUAGCUUAACCUUCGGGAGGGCGCUUACCACUUUGUGAUUCAUGACUGGGGUGAAGUCGUAACARGRACA
RNAcentral lists this ribosomal RNA (341 nucleotides) under Escherichia coli. Its description in RNAcentral is "bacterial SSU rRNA". It matches the Rfam family "Bacterial small subunit ribosomal RNA", at positions 1159 to 1499 of the family's 1533-position model. The record is from RNAcentral. Lineage: Bacteria; Pseudomonadati; Pseudomonadota; Gammaproteobacteria; Enterobacterales; Enterobacteriaceae.